Small nuclear RNA from Manis javanica (Malayan pangolin), 106 nucleotides. Lineage: Eukaryota; Metazoa; Chordata; Mammalia; Pholidota; Manidae. The record is from RefSeq and is a predicted model, not a curated record.
AUGCUCACUUUGGCCGCACAUAUACUAAAAAAUUGGAGCAAUACAGAGAUUAGCAUGGCCCCUGCACAAAGAUGAUAUGCAAAUUCGUGAAGUGUUCCAUAUUUAA